UCAAACCUGCCAUGCAGAACGACCCGUGAACAAGUCACCUGAACUGGGCGAUGUUGAGCGCCGUAACGGCCCUCGAUGGAACCCGACACCAGGCAAGGGGCUUGCCCUCUAACCUGGUUUAACCUCGAAACCCGGCGUGAGAAACGCCAAGGAAUCUAAACGAGAAACGGUCACCCCGAAAGCGUUGUGCAUGCGACGCGAUUGGGAGGGCCGUGCCUCCACUAUGUCUAUAACGACUCUCGGCAACGGAUAUCUCGGCUCUCGCAUCGAUGAAGAACGUAGCGAAAUGCGAUACUUGGUGUGAAUUGCAGAAUCCCGUGAACCAUCGAGUUUUUGAACGCAAGUUGCGCCCAAAGCCUUCGGGCCGAGGGCACGUCUGCCUGGGUGUCACGCACUCGUUGCCCCCUCUUCCUUCACCCCUAAACGGGCGUCGGGCGGGGGCGGAUUUUGGUCUCCCGUGCGCUCCCGCUCGCGGUUGGCCUAAAACUGAGUCCCUGGCGCCGAGCGUCACGACAAGCGGUGGUUGAAACAUGCCCUCCUGCAAGACGUCGUGUGCGCCCGUCGUCGCUUACCUGGAACUCCGAGACCCACGAACAUCCAUUGCGACCCCAGGUCAGGC
This 619-nucleotide unclassified non-coding RNA is filed under the name Balbisia miniata. RNAcentral describes it as "sequence contains ITS1, 5.8S rRNA gene, ITS2". The stretch from base 235 to 390 matches the Rfam family "5.8S ribosomal RNA". The record is from RNAcentral. Lineage: Eukaryota; Viridiplantae; Streptophyta; Magnoliopsida; Geraniales; Francoaceae.